UUAGAUUAAAGCCAAUGCGGAGCUCUUUCGGGGGCUUUGGAUAAUAUGGUGAAUCAUGAUAACUUUGCGAAUCGCAUGGUCUUGCACCGGCGAUGUUUCAUUCAAAUUUCUGCCCUAUCAACUUUCGAUGGUAGUAUAGAGGACUACCAUGGUGGUAACGGGUAACGGAGGAUCAGGGUUUGAUUCCGGAGAAGGAGCCUGAGAAACGGCUACUACUUCCAAGGAAGGCAGCAGGCGCGCAAAUUACCCAAUCCCGACACGGGGAGGUAGUGACAAAAAAUAACAAUAUCGGUCUUUUAUAAGUCUGAUAAUUGGAAUGAGUACAAUCUAAACCCCUUAACGAGUAUCAAUUGGAGGGCAAGUCUGGUGCCAGCAGCCGCGGUAAUUCCAGCUCCAAUAGCAUAUAUUAAAGUUGUUGCAGUUAAAAAGCUCGUAGUUGGAUUUUGGAAUUUGGGAAGSACGGUCCGCCGGAUUCGGUGUGUACYGGUUUUCCGGUUCUCCCUACGGKAUACYCGCUACUGCACWUAAUUGAKUGRWAGUUUUCCKUGCCWAAAGGUGGGAUASGAAAGGAGGCUC
This 576-nucleotide ribosomal RNA is filed under the name uncultured eukaryote. Its description in RNAcentral is "bacterial SSU rRNA". It matches the Rfam family "Eukaryotic small subunit ribosomal RNA", at positions 212 to 798 of the family's 1831-position model. The record is from RNAcentral.